Molecule: ribosomal RNA, 292 nt
Filed under: uncultured bacterium
Lineage: Bacteria
Description: partial 16S ribosomal RNA
Rfam family: Bacterial small subunit ribosomal RNA
Source: RNAcentral
GUGUCAGCCGCCGCGGUAAUACGGAGGGUGCGAGCGUUGUCCGGAAUCACUGGGCGUAAAGGGCGCGUAGGCGGCAGGGAAAGUCGGCGGUGAAAGCCCGGAGCUCAACUCCGGGUCGGCCGUUGAUACUUCUUUGCUCGAGCACUGUAGAGGCAGAUGGAAUUCCGGGUGUAGCGGUGGAAUGCGUAGAGAUCCGGAAGAACACCGGUGGCGAAGGCGGUCUGCUGGGCAGUUGCUGACGCUGAUGCGCGACAGCGUGGGGAGCAAACAGGAUUAGAUACCCCCGUAGUCC